CUUUCUCGCUUUCCCCUCUUCUUCCUCGUCCGCCCUUCAUCCGUCACAUUUCCCACCCUUUGACGACAUCGCGACUUGCAGUCUUGCGCAUCGCGCCCAUCUUCGCGGCUUUACACCAAGAAAACGGUCAUACGCUGCCGAUCCGGGACUUGCUCAUAUAUAACGACCUUUGAUUCCUCUAGACUGACCCUUUGCGCCACAAUGCCUCUCACUGCCAGUGAUAUUUGCAAGUCAUCUUUGCCGUCAUUCUACCUCCCCUGGGAGUUUUCCUCGAGACGGGCUGCGGUGUCGACCUCCUGAUCAAUGCCGCUCUCACCAUUUUGGGGUACAUUCCCGGCAUCAUUCAUGCCAUCUACAUCCUCGUCACGAGAUAGCCUGUGUCUACGUUUGAGCUGUUGAUGGUAUGCAAACCGGAUGGCUUGACGAUCACGUGCCACGCGAUCGUUUUAGGCAGGUUCGUUUUAUUGAUCGAGGCAAAGCCAGGUUAAGGAAGAGGAUGCCUCGGAUGCGGGGUUUUGGCGCAGUUUCGCCGCGAGUCACGGUCUAGCAUCACAUGGGGCUGUUGUAUUUUGCAUGGUUUCCCGGCCGGUUUCCACUUAACGGGAAACGGAUUCUCCUGUGUCUGCAUGAGCCGAGCGCUUAUUAUGGACGAUUCAUGACGUCUUGGAUGUCUUAUAAUACCCAUCAAUUCCAGUUCGUACUU
RNAcentral lists this long non-coding RNA (703 nucleotides) under Nilaparvata lugens (brown planthopper). RNAcentral describes it as "uncharacterized LOC120356668". The record is from RNAcentral. Lineage: Eukaryota; Metazoa; Arthropoda; Insecta; Hemiptera; Delphacidae.